Molecule: signal recognition particle RNA, 97 nt
Filed under: Arcobacter sp.
Lineage: Bacteria; Pseudomonadati; Campylobacterota; Epsilonproteobacteria; Campylobacterales; Arcobacteraceae
Description: signal recognition particle sRNA small type
Rfam family: Bacterial small signal recognition particle RNA
About the family: The signal recognition particle (SRP) is a universally conserved ribonucleoprotein involved in the co-translational targeting of proteins to membranes. Archaeal SRP consists of a 7S RNA and homologues of the eukaryotic SRP19 and SRP54 proteins. In most bacteria, the SRP consists of a 4.5S RNA and the Ffh protein (a homologue of the eukaryotic SRP54 protein).
Source: RNAcentral
UCUUUAGCCCCUUACAAUCAUUUUUAGAGACAACGCCCCAGGAUGGGAACAUAGCAAGGCACCUCUUCUUUUGGUGUGUUUGGGUACCUGGAGAAGA